GUGCUACUGUUAUGUGUGUGAUGCUCCAGCUCCAUUCAAGCACUGGGGCAAAGGGCUCUGUCAAGCAGGUCUCCAUGAUAGUAUGUUGUGCUGGUGAUGUUUUUUCGUUGCUGGGAUCAUUUGAACUUGGAUGUCAUUUGUCAUGUGAUCUGAGCCAUAUGGCAUAUUGUAAAGUUUUUAUUGCUGUUUUUAUGUAUGAUGUCAUGAAGAUGUACGUUUGAAAUGCUGCUUUGACAGCAAAAUUGUAUUCCUAUGUACAUCCUGCUUUGACAGCAAAAUUAUGAAAAUUUCUUAACAAUA
Triticum urartu is the source of this 300-nucleotide non-coding RNA. Lineage: Eukaryota; Viridiplantae; Streptophyta; Magnoliopsida; Poales; Poaceae. The record is from RefSeq and is a predicted model, not a curated record.